RNAcentral lists this small nuclear RNA (85 nucleotides) under Cyclospora cayetanensis. The record is from RNAcentral. Lineage: Eukaryota; Apicomplexa; Conoidasida; Eucoccidiorida; Eimeriidae.
GGCCUCCUGUGGGAAUGCAAUCCAAUAAAGUUGGAACGAUACAAAGAGGACUAGCGUGGCCCUUGCCCAAGGAUAACACAACAAA